GGCUGGUCCGAUUACUGUGGGUUAUCGUCACUUACGAAUCUCCCCCCCCACCGUAUAACUUGACUAGUUCAUC
Molecule: non-coding RNA, 73 nt
Organism: Pelobates cultripes (western spadefoot toad)
Lineage: Eukaryota; Metazoa; Chordata; Amphibia; Anura; Pelobatidae
Source: the annotation of a GenBank genome assembly